Long non-coding RNA from Paramisgurnus dabryanus, 142 nucleotides. RefSeq lists it as uncharacterized. The record is from RefSeq and is a predicted model, not a curated record. NCBI's taxonomy places the organism in Eukaryota, Metazoa, Chordata, Actinopteri, Cypriniformes, Cobitidae.
GUGAGUUCAAAAACUGAAUUUAACCGAUGUUUACCUCAGACGACAGUUUUCGUUUCUGUGAUAAAUUCUGAGCUAAUUUUCUUGUUGUGUUUGAUCUUUUCCAUUGGCUGAAGAAUGCUGUGACAAAAAAGCAACCAGGACC